AUUUUUGUAGUUGAUAUACAACAGUGGUUUUUCGAGCCACAGGACUCUAGUGGGCAAAAAUU
This 62-nucleotide transfer RNA is filed under the name Laticauda colubrina (yellow-lipped sea krait). RNAcentral's name for it is "tRNA-Glu". Lineage: Eukaryota; Metazoa; Chordata; Lepidosauria; Squamata; Elapidae. The record is from RNAcentral.